CUGACAAUAGGGCUUGGGGCCUGCUACGGGUCCAGGUCAUGUGUUCAUUUGGAUUUCAUAUUUUGUAAUAUUGUCAAAGCUCAUAUAAAAGGGGAUUUCAUCUACAACUUCCUUGUUCUUUUUCUUUUCAGCGCCUGCGACCCGGACCUGGAUAAAGUGGAAGAAAAUGGAUGGAGGACGAGGAAAUGCAAUCGUCUAUAAAUGAAAGACAACAGCGAUGGAGAUCCUCUGAGAAGGAGGAGGCCUGUCUGAUGGAGCCGUUCAUCCAUCAGUGGUUGUUUUCCAUCAGACCCAGUAGAUCCAGAGAUGUGUGUGUAGACGACA
Molecule: long non-coding RNA, 324 nt
Organism: Sphaeramia orbicularis (orbiculate cardinalfish)
Lineage: Eukaryota; Metazoa; Chordata; Actinopteri; Kurtiformes; Apogonidae
Exons: 3
Source: RefSeq, a predicted model, not a curated record